AAAUGAUUCAAAGGUGAAAGUGAAGUGAUGAUGCAAAGCAUGGGGGUAAAAUGGAGUGGUGUUGCAGCUAGAGAACAUGAAUGAUUAUGCACAUGGUAGAGAAAGGAAAGGGAGGUGGAAUGAUGCAACAAAUGAGUCAAUGGAGGGAACAUGGAUGAUGAUACACGGCAUAGGAAUCCAAAUGGAGUGCAAUGGUGGUGCACAACAAUGAUGGAAAGGUGAAUGGUGGAGUGACACCCCUUUGUGGUUGAGCUCUUUGUCCUUUUUACAUUAAUUCUUCUUUCUCUUUAACACAUUCCUUGCCUCUUUAGUCUUCAAUUUCGUCCAUCCACCUUGCUCCAAGCAUGUGCUAUUCAUUCCAAGCCCAAAACUGCUCCAAAAUGCACCAAAAUGCAUCUCAUUGCUUCAUAAGGCCUAUGGACUUACAAACACACGAAAAUAGCUUAAAAUACAUAAUUAACUAAGAAAUAACAACAGGAAUGCAUGAGAACAAGCUAACUCAGUCGCAUAAAUAUGCUCCUAUCAAAUUCCCCCACACUUAGCUUUUGCUAGUCCUCGAGCAAAACAAAACAAACGAAACAAACAAAACACAACCUAGACCUUCCAACAUUUGCCUCAGGGAUUUUUAAUGAAACAUGACAUGUUAAAAAAUCAUCAUUUCCACAAAUUUUGGUCAUCUUUACACUUGAGCACAUACUUAAUCACAAUCACCACUUACUAGUUCACAAUUAACCAAUUAAAACGAUGUUUUGAAUGUAGUAACAUGCCUUAGAGAAUUUGCUCAAUUUCUUACAAGAUACUCUCUAUUUUCACACACAUUUUCUGACUACACACCCUACACUAGUAUAUGUGAGAAGAUUAAUGUAAACACGAAAGACUAUGACUCACAUAUGUUAUAACAAAGAAAUCAAUUUUCUGGAGUUAUUAAGCAUGUUUAUAUAUGAUCUCAUGAAUGGAAUGCUACUAAUUAGAUGCGAGAACCAGUGACACCAUAUGCUCAUACCAAUUUCA
Molecule: long non-coding RNA, 1011 nt
Filed under: Malus domestica (apple)
Lineage: Eukaryota; Viridiplantae; Streptophyta; Magnoliopsida; Rosales; Rosaceae
Description: long non-coding RNA (MDOM_LNC003076)
Source: RNAcentral